AAUACAAAAAAAUUAGUUUCAUUAGGUUAGUUGGAUGAAUGACAAUUUUUUUUCUGCAGAUUUUGUCAGCGUUUGAGCAUGGCUGUGAAUAAAGCCCAGUAAUAACAGCAAGACAGCCUGAUUAAUCAAAUUACAUCCUAAAUGAUGGUAUUUUAAUGCCUAGAGGUAAACUGACGCUUGUAAGUUUGAAAUAAACAUGAAGUUUGAAUUACAAAGUAGGAAGAGUGACAGGGAAGCCGGCCGUCUCCCACAUUACAAUGUUUGGCAUUGCCAGGAAAAUCGGAAGUCAGUGAUGAUGAGGAGGAGAAGUGAUGAAGACUGACUGACUGAGUCCCAAAAAAAGAGGCGUAUUUCCCAGCAUGCCGCUGGAUCAGACACAGUUCACUGCUGACGCCAGGCCACAAAUAUGGAGGUAAUGAGGUGCAAUGAGCUGCUGUGUGUGCUGCAUUUACUGACCUUUAAUGACUGUUUUGAAGAGAGGGAGUCACAUGACCGGCGGCCUGCUUGUCCCCGGGCGAGGACAGCUUCAGGGCUGCGUUUGGAAGGACGAGCACGGAGGAAGCAGAGAUGUCUGCCAACAACAGGGAUGCAUGAAAUCUUUAAUUAAAGCUUAAGACUCCAUCAGCAUGGCACUGGUCAUCUCAACUUCCUUCCUGGAUUUUACAGAAGUUCUUGGCACUCCAUCCUCCUGUUUCACCUCAAAUUCUUCUCUGACCUGGCUAGAAUCGUGCCUUACUAAAAACUCAUGUUCACUGGGACUCAAACCUGUUGAAGGAUGGAAACGCUGCAGCAGAAUGGGCGCUGGCUGAAGGAAAGUCAUAUACUCUUUGACCUUCAUCAAUUAAUUAUUUUUACAUUAAUAGAUGAAAAGUACAGCAAGAGUCUGCAUGAGAAAUUCAACUAUGAAUUACGUAAAAGAUGUUUAAAAUAAAAUUAGUUUGAACCUUUUUCUUUAAAACAAAUGAAAGUGAAAUAUUCUCAUAAACUUUAAAUUCUUGUCACUUUUUCAGUUUGGCAAUAGAAAGUUGACUUAAAAUUCAGUGCUGUAAUUAUGUACAAUCAAAAGAUUAUGAAUUUUCAUAAACAGUUACUCUCUUGGUUUUUUAUUUGGAGGUUCUUCCAUAAAUGGACUCAUUUGACUUUAUUUAUUGCUAUUUUUUGUGAUUUCGCGUUUGUCUUUUCAAAUCAAUUUUUUGGUCAAAAACUGUAAUUAAAAUUUAAAAUGACAAACUUUACAAAGUCUUGAAAUUUGUUCCAUAUGUUCAAGAUUUUGAUCAUUACUCACAGAAUAUUUAAAUGUUAAAUCUUUUCUUUUAAGGUUUCCUUAAAUUAAAAACUGAAAUUUAGAAACAAAAGCAGCAGAACUGAUGGAAAUCCACCUUAAGAACUGAUGGAAAUGUCAACCAGUGCUGCAUGAAGUGAUGGUGCAACAAAAAAAAGAAAAAGACGGAAAUCCAAGGUCGCUGUGUGAAGACCCACCUGCACAAGAGCAGACUGAAGAUGAAGGCCGUGCAAUGAUCAAGAGGCUGUUGAUGGGACAGUCGAUGGGAGUCCUGAUUGAAAAUGACCUUCAAAUACUUUUACUUCUGCUGUCUGCUGCAUUGUCUGUGUAAAACUUAUGUUUUUAGCCACUUCUAAUCCUCUGUUUGAUUGUUUCAAUAAAAUUCAGUAAAUUUCUGCUUGAAAUUAAGUAUUUGUUUG
Molecule: long non-coding RNA, 1701 nt
Organism: Oryzias latipes (Japanese medaka)
Lineage: Eukaryota; Metazoa; Chordata; Actinopteri; Beloniformes; Adrianichthyidae
Source: RefSeq, a predicted model, not a curated record